This 1323-nucleotide ribosomal RNA is filed under the name Escherichia coli. Its description in RNAcentral is "partial 23S ribosomal RNA". It matches the Rfam family "Bacterial large subunit ribosomal RNA", at positions 419 to 1744 of the family's 2925-position model. Lineage: Bacteria; Pseudomonadati; Pseudomonadota; Gammaproteobacteria; Enterobacterales; Enterobacteriaceae. The record is from RNAcentral.
GGGACACGUGGUAUCCUGUCUGAAUAUGGGGGGACCAUCCUCCAAGGCUAAAUACUCCUGACUGACCGAUAGUGAACCAGUACCGUGAGGGAAAGGCGAAAAGAACCCCGGCGAGGGGAGUGAAAAAGAACCUGAAACCGUGUACGUACAAGCAGUGGGAGCACGCUUAGGCGUGUGACUGCGUACCUUUUGUAUAAUGGGUCAGCGACUUAUAUUCUGUAGCAAGGUUAACCGAAUAGGGGAGCCGAAGGGAAACCGAGUCUUAACUGGGCGUUAAGUUGCAGGGUAUAGACCCGAAACCCGGUGAUCUAGCCAUGGGCAGGUUGAAGGUUGGGUAACACUAACUGGAGGACCGAACCGACUAAUGUUGAAAAAUUAGCGGAUGACUUGUGGCUGGGGGUGAAAGGCCAAUCAAACCGGGAGAUAGCUGGUUCUCCCCGAAAGCUAUUUAGGUAGCGCCUCGUGAAUUCAUCUCCGGGGGUAGAGCACUGUUUCGGCAAGGGGGUCAUCCCGACUUACCAACCCGAUGCAAACUGCGAAUACCGGAGAAUGUUAUCACGGGAGACACACGGCGGGUGCUAACGUCCGUCGUGAAGAGGGAAACAACCCAGACCGCCAGCUAAGGUCCCAAAGUCAUGGUUAAGUGGGAAACGAUGUGGGAAGGCCCAGACAGCCAGGAUGUUGGCUUAGAAGCAGCCAUCAUUUAAAGAAAGCGUAAUAGCUCACUGGUCGAGUCGGCCUGCGCGGAAGAUGUAACGGGGCUAAACCAUGCACCGAAGCUGCGGCAGCGACGCUUAUGCGUUGUUGGGUAGGGGAGCGUUCUGUAAGCCUGCGAAGGUGUGCUGUGAGGCAUGCUGGAGGUAUCAGAAGUGCGAAUGCUGACAUAAGUAACGAUAAAGCGGGUGAAAAGCCCGCUCGCCGGAAGACCAAGGGUUCCUGUCCAACGUUAAUCGGGGCAGGGUGAGUCGACCCCUAAGGCGAGGCCGAAAGGCGUAGUCGAUGGGAAACAGGUUAAUAUUCCUGUACUUGGUGUUACUGCGAAGGGGGGACGGAGAAGGCUAUGUUGGCCGGGCGACGGUUGUCCCGGUUUAAGCGUGUAGGCUGGUUUUCCAGGCAAAUCCGGAAAAUCAAGGCUGAGGCGUGAUGACGAGGCACUACGGUGCUGAAGCAACAAAUGCCCUGCUUCCAGGAAAAGCCUCUAAGCAUCAGGUAACAUCAAAUCGUACCCCAAACCGACACAGGUGGUCAGGUAGAGAAUACCAAGGCGCUUGAGAGAACUCGGGUGAAGGAACUAGGCAAAAUGGUGCCGUAACUUCGGGAGAA